UUUAUGUAGUGGUGGAGGGAGGAAGCAUUCUCUCUGAGAAUCAUCUUGUCAGAACCAUCUGGCUGGGGGCGGUGCACAAGAACCAUCUGCUGGGAGCCUCAUUUCCAUCCUGUUCCUUAAAUGCAAACUUUUGACGUUAUCCAUAAAUGAAGUCACACACACAAUCACUGCAAUGUGGGUACACGAAAUGUGUUAUUUUGACAAGAGUUAACAUUUAACAUACUCAAAUUCAUUUAUUUUGCAAUUGACUUAUGGUAUUUCUCCAUUUUCGAAUAUACUAGAAGUCAAAAACAGAAAAAAAAAUGAGCCUCAUGUUUUUCAACCUUCAACCUUCAAGGAUCUAGAGGGGAGGAAAUGAAAACAUCUGCCUUCAUAAAGGUGCUGCUCUUUCCUUCCAGGAUUCCCCAGGGCAUCCUUGGAGUGCCCCCAGUUUGAAUUGGAGAUAAAAGGUAUGGUCUUGUUGAAAUUGCCCCCAAAUUGAGCUGCACCUUCCAAUUGAGGCAGAAAGAAUCGCCUUUUGAUACGUUCCACAAUUGGAAUGCAAAUUCUCUCCCAUCUCCUAGACACCUGGGCCUGCCCCCAUUUUUCUUGACUGUAAUCUGUUUAGCUUGUGCAUAAAAUGGCAAAAACAAAGAGUCUUUCUGUAAAAGAAAAAGAAGAGGAAAGAAAGUAGAUUCUGUGUCCUCUUCCUUAGUCCUUGCCAAAUCUUUGCUCCCAGGCCUCGGCAGGUGGCAGUGUACAUGAGUCAUGCAGUCUAUCUUUCUGUUUUGUUUGUUAUUAACCACUGAAAUGAUGGCACCAUUCCUGGAGUUAGGCCUUCAACCAAAGAGCUGGGCCAUCCGUGGCAAUGCCUCCCAGGCUUGGGAGCUGGGAAAAGGCCCCAGGAGCUAGGGCAUCCUGAUUGUUCUUUCAAAGAAAUCCCUCUUGUUCUUAGUCAACAUGCUGGAUACCAGCUAAAAAAUGCAAAAUGAUCUUCAGGCAGGGAUGGCACAGGACCCUUGCUGAGCUGUGAAGCCUGGCUGUGAGGAUUCCUGCAUGGAAACAUCAACAUGUUGCCAGAUUGGUAUACGACUCAACACCACACUGACAUGCUGCUCCCAAACAGUGCCUUUGAAUCAAGACCCAGUCAUCGUAUUCGAAGAAAAAGGAAAUAUCCCUGACCAUGUUGGGACUUAACACUGCUUCACAGAGGCCACACAGCAAAUUAAUCCAUAAGAAGAUUUAAGAGGAGACUUCAGGACAGCAGUUUCCCUCCUGUAUUUGCAAUCAAAACAUUUAAGACACCCAGAGCAACUCAGAGGGAUUGAAUUACUGGAACACUCUAUGGCGAAGACAUUUAACAACCUGACAACUUGGUUUUAAAACAUCUUAUGUGUGAUAACCACAAAUGGCUCUGAAUUAGCCCCCAAAAGGGGAAAAGAUUCCUAAGUCUCUCUACUCUGAGCUAAUAGGAUAGCAUAGGAAAACAAAUCUUUAUUAUGAGUUUUUGAAUUUGUCACCAUUGGAGUUUCAGAAUAACAUGUCUGUUGGGAUAUUCAAUCUCCCAUUCUUCUUUCCAGUGGAUUAAAAAUGACAGUACUAAUUAAAGAAGUAAAGAAAAGAGACCACUGUCACUUGCAAUGUAUAGACUUGAAUUAUAAUAAGGCUCAGAUGAGGAGGAGAAAGAAAAGUUGGAGAAGUAUCCUCAUUAGGAGUUUCUUUCUAAGCAUCAAAAAGCAUCCUGAAGAUGAAUUCUCUUUAAAAAGACGGUGUUUAAGGGGCUGGGGGCAGUGGCUCACGCUUAUAAUCCCAGCACUUUGGG
Molecule: long non-coding RNA, 1801 nt
Filed under: Homo sapiens (human)
Lineage: Eukaryota; Metazoa; Chordata; Mammalia; Primates; Hominidae
Description: HSALNT0385967
Source: RNAcentral